AAGACUAUGCUUUCAGGGAUCAUUUCUAUAGUUCGUUACUAGAGAAGUUUCUCUGAAUGCGUAGAACACCAGAAACCACAAGGAGGAGGCGCAGCGUUCUCUCCUGAGCGUGAAGCCGGGUCCUGGUGUUGCUUCGCUGCAACUGCCAUUUGCCACUGAUGAUUGUUUUUCUCUUCCUUUGGGAGAUUAAGAGGGAAAGGAUGCAGUCUGAGCGGU
Molecule: small nucleolar RNA, 216 nt
Organism: Nomascus leucogenys (northern white-cheeked gibbon)
Lineage: Eukaryota; Metazoa; Chordata; Mammalia; Primates; Hylobatidae
Gene: U3
Rfam family: Small nucleolar RNA U3
About the family: Small nucleolar RNAs (snoRNAs) are involved in the processing and modification of rRNA in the nucleolus. There are two main classes of snoRNAs: the box C/D class, and the box H/ACA class. U3 snoRNA is a member of the box C/D class.
Source: Ensembl